RNAcentral lists this ribosomal RNA (252 nucleotides) under uncultured bacterium. Its description in RNAcentral is "partial 16S ribosomal RNA". It matches the Rfam family "Bacterial small subunit ribosomal RNA", at positions 524 to 776 of the family's 1533-position model. The record is from RNAcentral.
UACGGAGGGUGCGAGCGUUGUCCGGAAUCACUGGGCGUAAAGGGCGCGUAGGCGGCGCGGGAAGUCGUCGGUGAAAGCUCAGGCUCAACUCUGAGUCGGCCGGCGAUACUCUCGUGCUCGAGCACUGUAGAGGCAGGUGGAAUUCCGGGUGUAGCGGUGGAAUGCGUAGAGAUCGGGAGGAACACCAGAGGCGAAGGCGGCGACCUGGAUAGGCACUGACACUCAACUGCGAAAGCGUGGGGAGCAAACAGG